Molecule: long non-coding RNA, 339 nt
Filed under: Homo sapiens (human)
Lineage: Eukaryota; Metazoa; Chordata; Mammalia; Primates; Hominidae
Description: non-protein coding lnc-CNKSR3-2:1
Source: RNAcentral
AUGGUUUCUGAAUAGUAAGGUGGCAAGAAGGGCCACCUGCCCUCAAUGAGGUGGUGACCAGAGACUAAACCAUCGACAUUCACAAGCUCAUUCGCAGAGUGGGCUUCAAGAAACAGACCCCUUGGGGCACUCAAAGAGGGCCAGAAAUUUGUCCUGAAGGAGAGGGGAACUCCCAUUACACACAUUCAUACUAAGCUCAGCAAAGCUUUCCGGGCCAAAGGAAUGAGGAAUGUCCCAUGCCAUGUGUGGUUCAGAAAUGAGCCAAACAAGGUCUGUACAUUGGUUACCUAUGCACCUGUUGCCACUUUCAGAAAUCUACAGUCAAUGUGAAUAAGAACU